CCAGACUCCUACGGGAGGCAGCAGUGGGGGAUAUUGCACAAUGGGGGGAACCCUGAUGCAGCGACGCCGCGUGGGUGAAGGAGCGUUUCGGCGCGUAAAGCCCUAUCGGCAGGGAAGAAGGAGGACGGUACCUGACUAAGAAGCCCCGGCUAACUACGUGCCAGCAGCCGCGGUAAUACGUAGGGGGCAAGCGUUAUCCGGAUUUACUGGGUGUAAAGGGAGCGUAGACGGCAGCGCAAGUCUGGAGUGAAAUCCCAUGGCUUAACCAUGGAACUGCUUUGGAAACUGUGCAGCUGGAGUGCAGGAGAGGUAAGUGGAAUUCCUAGUGUAGCGGUGAAAUGCGUAGAUAUUAGGAGGAACACCAGUGGCGAAGGCGGCUUACUGGACUGUAACUGACGUUGAGGCUCGAAAGCGUGGGGAGCAAACAGGAUUAGAUACCCCUGUA
This 445-nucleotide ribosomal RNA is filed under the name uncultured bacterium. RNAcentral describes it as "partial 16S ribosomal RNA". It matches the Rfam family "Bacterial small subunit ribosomal RNA", at positions 331 to 792 of the family's 1533-position model. The record is from RNAcentral.